This 524-nucleotide ribosomal RNA is filed under the name uncultured bacterium. Its description in RNAcentral is "bacterial SSU rRNA". It matches the Rfam family "Bacterial small subunit ribosomal RNA", at positions 10 to 523 of the family's 1533-position model. The record is from RNAcentral.
AGUUUGAUCCUGGCUCAGAGUGAACGCUGGCGGUAGGCCUAACACAUGCAAGUCGAACGGCAGCACAGAGGAGCUUGCUCCUUGGGUGGCGAGUGGCGGACGGGUGAGGAAUACAUCGGAAUCUACUUUUUCGUGGGGGAUAACGUAGGGAAACUUACGCUAAUACCGCAUACGACCUUCGGGUGAAAGCAGGGGACCUUCGGGCCUUGCGCGAUUGAAUGAGCCGAUGUCGGAUUAGCUAGUUGGCGGGGUAAAGGCCCACCAAGGCGACGAUCCGUAGCUGGUCUGAGAGGAUGAUCAGCCACACUGGAACUGAGACACGGUCCAGACUCCUACGGGAGGCAGCAGUGGGGAAUAUUGGACAAUGGGCGCAAGCCUGAUCCAGCCAUACCGCGUGGGUGAAGAAGGCCUUCGGGUUGUAAAGCCCUUUUGUUGGGAAAGAAAAGCAGUCGGUUAAUACCCGAUUGUUCUGACGGUACCCAAAGAAUAAGCACCGGCUAACUUCGUGCCAGCAGCCGCGGUAA